Treponema pedis str. T A4 is the source of this 125-nucleotide regulatory RNA element. It matches the Rfam family "TD-1 RNA". Rfam says of the family: non coding RNA found in Treponema denticola NCBI's taxonomy places the organism in Bacteria, Pseudomonadati, Spirochaetota, Spirochaetia, Treponematales, Treponemataceae. The record is from Rfam.
GUUUAUCUUCGAGUUUUGUGCUUUGCACAAAACAUCGUUUAUUGUAUGCAGCUUUGCAAUUUGCAAAAUUGCAUACAAAAUUUUUUUUCACAAAUUGAUAUUUGCUGUAAAAAGUUUUUAUAGGA